CCUACGGGUGCAGCAGUGGGGAAUAUUGCGCAAUGGGCGAAAGCCUGACGCAGCGACGCCGCCUGAGGGAUGAAGGUCUUCGGAUCGUAAACCUCUGUCAGCAGGGAAGAACGGUCACUGUGCUAAUCAGCAGUGAAUUGACGGUACCUGCAAAGGAAGCACCGGCUAACUCCGUGACAGCAGCCGCUGUAAUACGGAGGGUGCGAGCGUUAAUCGGAAUUACUGGGCGUAAAGCGCUCGUAGGCGGUAUGUCAAGUCAAGAGUGAAAUCCCCGCGCUCAACGUGGGAACUGCCUUUGUAACUGGCAAACUGGAGUGUGUGAGAGGAUAGUGGAAUUCCAGGUGUAGGAGUGAAAUCCGUAGAUAUCUGGAGGAACAUCAGUGGCGAAGGCGGCUAUCUGGCACAUAACUGACGCUGAGGAGCGAAAGCGUGGGUAGCGAACAGGAUUAGAUACCCUAGUAGUC
This 464-nucleotide ribosomal RNA is filed under the name uncultured bacterium. RNAcentral's name for it is "partial 16S ribosomal RNA". It matches the Rfam family "Bacterial small subunit ribosomal RNA", at positions 338 to 795 of the family's 1533-position model. The record is from RNAcentral.